GACGAACGCUGGCGGCGUGCCUAAUACAUGCAAGUUGAGCGCUUAAGGUUGGUUCUUGUACCGACUCGGUGAGCAGCGGACGAGUGAGUAACGCGUAGGUACUCGGCCUUUGAGCGUGACACAACGUUUGGAAACCAAUUCUAAUACCGCAUAAGAACUUUAAACACAGGUUUUAUGUUUGAAAAAUGCAAUUGCAUCACUCAAAGAGGAUCCCCCGGUGUAUUAGCUAGUUGGUGAGGUAAAGGCUCACCAAGGCGAUGAUACAUAGCCGAGCUGAGAAGGUGGUCGGCUAAAUCGGGAAUGAGAAACGGGACAAACUCCUAAGGGAGGGAGCAGGAGGGAAUUUUUGGAAAUGGACGGAAGUCUGAACGAGGACAGGCGGGUGAGUGAAGGAGGUUUUCGGAACGUAAAAGUAUGUUGGGAGGGGAGAAAGGUGGGGAGAGUGGAAAGCUGAUGAAGUGACGUUAACUACACAGAAAGGGACGGCUAACUACGUG
This 497-nucleotide ribosomal RNA is filed under the name uncultured bacterium. RNAcentral's name for it is "partial 16S ribosomal RNA". It matches the Rfam family "Bacterial small subunit ribosomal RNA", at positions 28 to 507 of the family's 1533-position model. The record is from RNAcentral.